UAGCUGGGGAAAGACAUGCAGUCUUCUCCCAGCUCUGCCAAUGACUGUGACCUUGGCCAAAGCAAUUCACUGCUCUGGGCUGCAGCUUCCAGCACCGAGUCAGAGGCCACACAGCCCAAAGAUUAGCUUCAUGUCCAUUAUAGCAUUGAGGGAACAGAGACACCCAUACACAGAACCACCUUGGCAUAGAAGCACGUAGGCAUCUUCCUCUUCCAGGAGAAUUGAUUCUGUGGAUGGGCAUGAUUUCAGGAGAUUGUGCAGGGCCAGCAUCAGUGCACAAAGGGUCCUGUAUGUCCUUUGGCUGCAAAUCACCCACUUCCCUGUGUGUUUCAGUGGGAUAAUUUCCUCUCCCACCUCUUCACAUCCUCUUUUGCCAGGCUGGAUGGUGUCGUUUCUGUACACAAAUACUUUCUGCAUUCCCCCCUCCACAAAAUCCUAGCCAGGCACCAGCACACCUAAUCACAGCAAAGCCCAGAUCCCCCCUCAGUUGCUUUUACUCAGCGUUUUCAAAUAGGAGUAAAGGCCCUCGCAAUUUCUAAUUAACAAGCAAGGCCCAAGGGAACACAUAUCUUCAAAAGUUUUUCUAAUCCCUCGCCUUGCACACCUGGCAUGCUUCAGGCACAUCUGUCCUACAGCUGGCAGAGACAGAUGCCUCGGUUCUUUGUCAUUCAGAUUGCAUUUGGCCUCUUCUCAUCUAUUUAUUUCUUUAUACAUCCAGACUUCAUCACAUGAAGCCUGUUGGGGUUAAGUUUGUAAGUGUUUAAUUGUGCAACUUGCCACCCUGUGUGCCUCCUCCGUGGCUGUCUGUGUGUUUUCCAUCAAAGAAUGCAAAGCAGACUUCCAGGUGUUUAAAUUCUGUUCACUCAAAAAUGCCAGAUGAAUGGAAGAGGGAACACACUGAGAUGACUUAGACUCUGGUCCACCAACCAGACCCUUGGAAUGGAAUAUUAAAAUCAUUACAAGGCAUGAAUUUUAAAUGGAUGAAAUUUCAAAUUAUCUUAUUUGGAUAGAAGUCUAUAUUCUAGCCUCGUUUGCCUGAAGUCAGAUAGCCAGAAGAAAUUUCAUUGCUCGUUUUCACGAAAUUCACUUGUCUUUUGUUAAUUAACACAGGGCCUUUCCCAAAUUAUUCUCUAGCCAAGCCCCGCCUUCAUUACUGUUGAAAUCCCUCAUUUAUUUCCUUCUCAAAGUGCCCGUUAUCCAAACGCAGAACCUUUGCAUCUCCAAGCCAGUUAUGCUGAAUUUGUCAAACUUAGACACCCUUGACAACUGCACUCCUACUGUAGGCUCCUGUGCGUACUGGCGUCUUCUGUGGGGGAUGGAGAGGUUAGUGUGAUGAGGUGGCAUCUGCCCAGGAGGUUUCUUUCAUACAUCAUGGCCUCCCAUCCAAUUAACAUCAUCAACUUACAUGUGUAAUUAAGGCUCUGUGCCAUGGGGGAAAUGAGUCAUUUAGCUAGGCCAGGAUCUAGUGACAGCCACAGAGUUUAGAACCAUGAAAGAAGUUGAAGGUAGCAUUCUUCAGCUCUGUGACUUGUGACCCUAUUUGAAGUUUCAGGAUUUGGGUGUCACAAAGGAUUGUCCCUAAUCCUUGGCCCUGGGGUUUUCCAAGUGAGCUAGUUUAAUACUCCGAGAAUGAGCUGGCAGAUCCAGGUAAUGAACCCCUGACCACAUCGCCUAAACUGUCUUCCAAGCAUGAGACAAAGUUGACUGAUCACACUGAUUGCCCAACACAUACCGUCUUGCCAGUUUCUCCUUUUCUCCCAGUCUCCUCUUCAUCCAUUCUGUUCUCCCUUGGGGUGGGAAUCUAUGGUGGAGGUUACUGGGGAAACAGCUCAGCAGAUUUUUAGAGACCAAACCAAAGGCCUCACUGAAAAAUUUAUCUGUUUUAAAACAUUGCUUCCUUCCUGGCUCUGCUAAAUUGAAUGCUCAUUGUUUUUUUGUUUUUUUUGUUUUUUUGUUUUUAAAUUCUAAUGUUCAAAUCACUGCGUGCUGUAUGAAUCUAGAAAGCCUUAAAUUACUACCACCAAGAAAUAAAGCAAUAUGUUC
This 2043-nucleotide long non-coding RNA is filed under the name Macaca fascicularis (crab-eating macaque). RNAcentral's name for it is "lncRNA (ENSMFAG00000055032.1)". The record is from RNAcentral. Lineage: Eukaryota; Metazoa; Chordata; Mammalia; Primates; Cercopithecidae.